AGAGUUUGAUCAUGGCUCAGAAUCAACGCUGGCGGCGUGCCUAACACAUGCAAGUCGAACGAGAAAGUGGAGCAAUCCAUGAGUAAAGUGGCGACCGGGUGAGUAACACGUGACCAAUCUACCCUUGAGUGGGGGAUAACCUCGGGAAACCGGGGCUAAUACCGCAUAAUAUCUCCGGAUCGGAAGAACUGGAGAUCAAAGGAGCAAUUCGCUUAAGGAGGAGGUCGCGGCUGAUUAGCUAGUUGGCGGGGUAAUGGCCCACCAAGGCAAAGAUCGGUAGCCGGCCUGAGAGGGCGCACGGCCACACUGGAACUGAAACACGGUCCAGACUCCUACGGGAGGCAGCAGUGGGGAAUUUUGCGCAAUGGGGGAAACCCUGACGCAGCAACGCCGCGUGGAGGAUGAAGUCCCUUGGGACGUAAACUCCUUUCGACCCGGACGAUAAUGACGGUACGGGUGGAAGAAGCCCCGGCUAACUUCGUGCCAGCAGCCGCGGUA
This 498-nucleotide ribosomal RNA is filed under the name uncultured Acidobacteriota bacterium. RNAcentral describes it as "bacterial SSU rRNA". It matches the Rfam family "Bacterial small subunit ribosomal RNA", at positions 8 to 522 of the family's 1533-position model. The record is from RNAcentral. Lineage: Bacteria; Pseudomonadati; Acidobacteriota.